ACAGAUGUCAUUGUUUGACAAUUUUAAUGCCAUCUGCAAUGUCUUUCAAAAAUCUUGAAACUUUGGAAGUAUACAAUUGCGAUGGAUUAGCCAAGGUACUAACAAGUGAAGCAACCAAAACUCUUGUCAAUCUCACAACAAUGAGAAUAAAAGAGUGCAAGCUAUUGAUAGAGGUAAUAGCGAACGAGGGAGGCAAAGAAGAAGAGAUUGUUUUUGGCCAAUUGAAAGUUCUGGAGCUUCACUAUUUAUCAAGCCUUGCAUUCUUUUGCUCAGCCAAUUAUUCCUUCAAAUUCCCUUGUUUGGAGCAAGUUAUUGUGAGUCAAUGCCCAAAAUUGAAUGUCUUUUCGCAAGGAGUUUUAAGUACACCGUUGUUAAAGAAAGUACAAUUGACUAAACCAGAUGAUGAUAUAGAAUAUUUUUGGAAGGAUGAUCUCAAUUCUACUAUUCAACAAAUAUUUACAGACAUGGUUGGCUUCCGUAACCUUGAACAUUUGACACUCUCAGAAUUCCCUAGCAUGAAAGAAAAAUUAUGGAAUGGCCAAUUGCCAAUGGACAUAUUCUGGAAUUUAAAGUCGCUAGUGGUGGAUAAAUUUUCAAAUAUAUCAAGUGGUAUUCCAUUGAAUGUGUUAUGCCACUUCAACAAUCUGGAAUUGUUAGAGGUAAAAAGUUGUGAGUCACUAGAACAAGUGUUUGAUUUGGAGGUAAAUCAUCAAGAAAUUUUGGGCUUAAAGAAAUUCAGAUCAUUGAAAAUUGACAAUUGUAACAGCUUGAAAUAUAUAUUGACUCCAUCUGUACUAUUGCGCCUUGUUCAACUCCAAGAGAUAGAAGUGAAAAAUUGUGCUUUGAUAGAAGAAAUCAUCAAAAGCGAGGGGGAGAAAGAUGCGGGAAGUGAUAAAAUUAUAAUCCCUCUAUUGAACUCUAUCAUGUUUAAGUCAUUGCCUAACUUGACAAGCUUCUAUUCGGGAAGUAAAAUUUUGGAAUUUCCUCCCUUACAAACUAUUAUUGUUAAGGACUGUGAAAAGAUCUACAUGAAGGAGCUCAGUAUUCAUUUUUCAUCCCUUUUCACUGUUAAGGUUGUAUUACCCAGCUUGGAAACAUCUUCUUGCUUCCAGAAUUUAACAAUCUUGGUUAUCGAUGGCUUUGAUCAUUUGCAAUAUCUAUUCCCAUCUUCUAUGGUGAAAAGUCUUUUCAAACUGAGGAAGCUUAAGAUAUCUAAUUGUAUGUUAAUGGAAAGAGUAAUAGAUGAAGAUGAAGGGAGAGCAGAAAUGAUGUUGUUUCCUAAACUGUACCAGCUGAAGCUUAGAGAUCUUCCGAAACUCACAACAUUCUGCAACUCCUCAGCAAAUUAUGUUGAAAUGUCUUCCUUAUUCAGACUCUGGAUUGAUAAUUGCCCUGGCAUUGAAACAUUCAUCUCCAGUUAUGUAUGUCGUGAUAUGACAUUAUCAAGCAAAGAACCUGAAGGAAUGAGUGCAAAGGAGGACUCUAUUCACGUGCCAUCUCUUUUUGAUCAGAAGGUAAGACUACCUAGUUUGGAGAGAUUGCAAAUCAGCCAUGCUGAUCAGCUGGAAAAAUUAUGGAACAAUCAGGUCUCCAUGGAUUCCUUCAAUAAAUUAAACCGCUUGUUUGUACAAUUUUGUAAAAAUCUUGCAAGUGUUUUUCCAUCUAACAUGCUUGGGAAGCACCAGAAACUGGAGUGCUUGGAAGUACAAAAUUGUGAUUCAGUUGAGGAGAUAUUUGAAGUGCUCGAGAAGAGGUCUAGUAUGAUGGAGGAAAUUGUUGCCAAGGGGGAAGCAGUCCGCAGGUUUGUAUUCUCCAAAUUAACCCACCUGUCUCUAGAGAUGCUACCAAGUCUCAAGAGUUUCUACCCAGAUAUGCAUAUUUCAGAAUGGCCAACUUUGGAAGAUUUGAAGGUUUAUGGUUGUAAUAAUGUGGAGAUCCUUGCUUCAGAAUUAUUGAGCAUCCCAGGAAGUCAUGGAGACAGUCAACAACCACUGUUCUUCAUUUACGAGGAUGCAUAUCCUAGCUUGGAAAAACUAGAGUUGUGUGGAAUGCCCAGGUUAAAGCAUCUAUGGAGAGGAAAUUUUCAGCCUUGCAAUGCUUUUCAAAAUCUCCAGACUCUGAAAGUAUCAGAAUGUGACAGUUUAGAAAAUUCAUGGUCCUCAUCAUUGACUUUCCAGAACUUGACAACUCUGGAAGUUUCAAAGUGUGAUGAAUUGAGAUAUUUAUUGACCCCCUCAAAAACUAAAACUUUGGGUCAACUUACAAGACUGAAUGUAUCCGAUUGCAAACAGAUGGAGGAAAUUAUAACACAUUUGGGAGAUGAAGUAAUGGAGAAUUCAAUUGUUUUCAGCAAAUUGGGUUGUUUGGAACUUCACUGCUUGUCCAGCCUUAAAAGCUUCUGUUGUGGGGAUUAUUCUCUAGAAUUCUUAUCCUUGAAAAAAGUAAUUGUUAGGCAAUGCUUGGAGAUGGAGACUUUUUGUCAUGGAGUUUUGAGUACACCAAAGCUCGAAGGACUACAGUUGAUAGAAGGAGGAGAGGAUGAAGUAGAAGAAUGUUGGGAAGGCAACCUUAAUUCCACCAUACAGUAUUUGUACAACAAUACGAAAGUGCGGAGCUUCAAAGAAGAUUGAGGUCAUUCCUAUAAAUAGUUUGCGAUAGACCAUGGCUUCAUUUCCUCUGGUUGAAGAGGGACUUUGUUUCUGCCAUCUUAACUGAUUUGAUCCUCACUUUUUGUUGAAUGUGGAGUGCCAUCUGUUUACACAUUUUGUCCGGUUCAAGAAAACUAUCCAGUGUAUGGCUCAUAAGAAAUAGACAACGGCUCCUGAAAUAGCUAUGGUUUCUGUCUCAGAAGUUGCAUCAAAGGCUACAUCAGGUCAAGCAAGUUCAAAGGCUAAAACAAGUUUUGUCUAUUGACUGUCAAGUCCUGGUUUGACUGGUCGAUCCAGUUUUUAAAACAAUGUGUGGUAUGCAUUUAAAACAAGAUGGCAAG
This is an RNA transcript of Mangifera indica (mango), 2989 nucleotides long. RefSeq lists it as uncharacterized. Lineage: Eukaryota; Viridiplantae; Streptophyta; Magnoliopsida; Sapindales; Anacardiaceae. The transcript has 8 exons. The record is from RefSeq and is a predicted model, not a curated record.